Molecule: long non-coding RNA, 1243 nt
Organism: Nicotiana attenuata
Lineage: Eukaryota; Viridiplantae; Streptophyta; Magnoliopsida; Solanales; Solanaceae
Exons: 3
Source: RefSeq, a predicted model, not a curated record
UUUUGUAACAAACUCACAUGCUCUCCCUCAAAACUCACAUUCUCAUACACACUCUUGGCCACCAAUUAAUCCCUAUACCUACACUUAUAUAUCUUCCACUCUAACACACUCACAAACACACACAAACAGACUAAAAAGAGGCUAAAAACAGACCUGGGGGAGCUAAGAAUAAAAGGAAUCGUCUUCAUCUUCUUGUUUGAGAAAGGUAGCAUUUCCCUUAAAUACCUUCACAAAUAAAAGGUAGCAUUUCCCCAUUGAAACUAGCUAGCUUCACCCCCGUCAAACACCAUUUUAAUCACCUUAAAUACCUUCAAAACCAGCCCCCAAUGCACCUUCUCUGGCUCCAAAGUACCAUUUAAAGAUCCCCCUAAAGGGAUCUCAAAUUCACCCAAAAUGCAACAGUAAAACGACCACAAAACCAACCCCAAAACCACUCCUUCUUUGAUCGAAAAUUGCUGGUUAACAAUCCCAUGUUUCAGUCACGUAAAACCAGCCUUAUACCAUCACAAAAAUUCCCCAACCCAGUGCGAAAAUCAGCUUGAAACCAUCCAAACCCAGUCGAGAUGAGUCCAUUUGGCGACGUCGAUUUCGGUCCAGGGUCCUAGUCCGUAGCUCGUUUGAGGAUUACUGUUCUAGAGUUUCUAUUUUCAUUGUAUCUGCUCCAAAAUUUCAGCAAUAGAAGGCCGUGACGCUUCAUUGGGAAACGUUUUCUAAAUCCCGGGAAGAGCUGAGCCGGUGUGAGGCCGAUCUCAAAAGGCUUACGGAGGAAAGAGAUGCUCUAAAACUUCUCAUUGGGCAAAAAGAAGAGGAGAUCAAGGACCUCCGAGCCGAAUUGACAACAACUCAUAAAGGACAAACCGACCUGAUUUAGCAAGUGAUGUUCAGCAGAAGGCCGAAAAGAUUGAGCAACUUCACGAGGAGGCCAAGAUGAAGGAGGCGGAGACUUUGGGGUGGAAACAAAAUAUGGAUCGCCUUGCCUCGGAAAAAGAGGCCGCUCGAGCACAACUGUUAUCGGCUGAACGUCAACUCCAAAGCAUGAAAGAGGAGAACUUGGCCCGAACCAAGAGAGUUGAGGAGCUCGAGGCUCGAUUGGCCGCCGAACUUGCGAAGGCUACAUCUGAGGCAGAAAAAGUAAAGGCUGAUGCGGAGGCGGUCAUGGCCGUCUAAUGAGCCGGUGUUGAAGCUGCUCAUGUCACACCUCCUUUUUCCCGAGGGAUAGGGAGUUUUUUCAAUUAAAGUGACA